RNAcentral lists this long non-coding RNA (3526 nucleotides) under Gallus gallus (chicken). RNAcentral's name for it is "lncRNA (ENSGALG00010027442.1)". Lineage: Eukaryota; Metazoa; Chordata; Aves; Galliformes; Phasianidae. The record is from RNAcentral.
CAGAAACAUGGAGGGCCAGUGCUGAUCGGAAUGCACAAAAAGGCUGAAACACAAAAUCUGAGGCUUGUGGAAAAAGCCUCUUUCUCUAUCAGAUUUACAGCUGGAAAUCAUCUCCUGAAUUUCUUCACCUAAGCCAAUCCAACUGCAUUCAUAUGAAGUACAGAUAAGGAAAGGACCUAUGUGAUGUCUGGUUUCUUAAGUGUUAUCUGGCUCCAGGUGAAGUAUGAAUCAGUGUUUGGAGGAGUUCUAUAAGAUCAAAUCUGUGACAGCUGCAGGCUUGCUCAUCUCAAGACCCUCAGACCACUUCAUAACCAAGGAUACAUUAGUGGAGCAUCCUGAAUAAUCUUAUGUCUUUCCGGAAGUCAUUCUCAGCUGGAUUUUGGCAUAAGACUUGUUGUUGCACCUGCUCUGCAUUAAAAACUCAAACUCUACAAGCAAGCAUUCCAGAACCAGACAUGAAUAUAACUCGGAACUAAAAUGAACAUUCUGCUCCACUAACUUUCAUCCAUGGAUGAUGCCCUUUGUUUUUGAACACUGCCUUUAAUAGCUCCUGUUAAGGACGAAGCAGGUUUGAGUUUAGCUGUUACUGGAUCUUCGAACUAAAGGCUGUCAAGUUACCUGUUUGGAAACAGUUGGGCUUUUCAUUGACGUUGCUUUCUUGAAAAGUGCUUUCAGAGCUGUUUUCCACUCCAAAAAUGAAGAAGUAAAAUGUGGAAACAAAACGCUGGAGGACAACAUAAAACUCAGCAAGCUGUAAGUGGGUUCACAGGGUUUACUUCAUCACAUGCUCCAGACCAAGUGCUGCAGCACUGUGUUGCACUUGGCUUUAAGUUUGCAGUAGAGGGAACAAAGUGAUGCACUGAGAAAGAUUUCUGGACUGUGAGUGCUCAUGUUCUUAAUCAGAUUACACUUUAUCAACUUACCCCUUCUCAUUAAUCCACAGUAAAAGUCAUGUGUACUCUUAACCUGUCCCAGCUCUGAAACAAAACAUCAUCUGAGGCUCUACAUCAGUGUCUGUUUUAAUGCUAGGCAAUUGCUUAAGGCAAUUUACUCAGUGUUAAGGAGGUACAGCUUAGAAGUGUGUUUCUUGUGAGAUACUGCAGAACUUCCGAGAAAUGUUAACCACGUACACCAAAUGAUUAACUGAGUAAUGCAGAACUCGGGGUAGUUUCAGCUUGCAGAUUCAAACUCAAGUGUUACGGGAACGCAUGCAAAUGUCUGCAUGGGAAAUGGUUGUGUAAGAUCUCGUUUCAUUUAGCAGUACAGUCAGUGAAAUUAAGAGCACUGUUCGUCACAGAAGCUAGCAGGGAAGCAAUAGGGCAAUGGAAAACAAUGGGACCCUCCUGAGCAUCAAAAAUGAAGUUUCUGCAUAUUGAAGCUCAAGAUUUCCACAGACGAUGACACCAGUUUUCACACUGUCCCACACGUUGCUCCCUAUAUAUGGGCACACACAUUUUCAAAAUGAAUUUGGGCCUGAAGGAAAAAUUCCCUUAACACAAAGCAUUUAUUCCAACUGAAAAUACCAUAGGGUUCUCUUGUCUGAUCUCCACCUGAAGUAUGAGAAAUGCAUAGCUCUCCUCUGGUUCCUGUGCCAUGUCUGACAGCCCAGCUUGGAUGAAAUGAUGUUUAAAGCCAGUGCUAAGCGCUGAGUAAGGUAGCAAUAACCAUUAAGGUUAUCCCUUUCCAAAUUCUCAAAGAUUUCUUUCCCUUUCAGAGAUUGUUGUCCAGUGUCACUUAUGAGAGGGCUUUCUGAGCUGCAAUUUAAAGCCUUCGUAGCCAGUCAUUCAAAUACAAGACCAUCGCCUAAAAGGACUUGCAACUCAUGAGCAGCUGGGGAUCAGCACCUGCAAAGAUAGAACAAUAUACACAGCUGGAGUUUUGACUGAACAGGGCAAAAUAAGCUGUGUUUUUGCAGGAAAAAGUCAUUUGAGCAUCCCUGAGGUAUUUGAUUUGUAACCAAAGAAGUUCCAGCAAUGUAUGUAUUGAAGAUAACUCACAUAACUGACUGAGGAUAUUCAUACUUUUCCUGGUAUUUCCCUAAGAAUUCUCCAGUAAUUUCAUCAGAAGGGAAUCCAUGACAUCUUUAAAUAACAGCAGAUGUGCUUUCUGGUGACUUUCUCAAGAUAUUCAAAGUAAGUUCAAAGCCCAUUUUGUGCUGCACACAUCUGUAUAAUGACAGACACCUAAGGACAUCUGCACCGGACUGAAGGAUGUGACACGAGACCAACAGGAAACACAUGAUCAUCUAACUUUGUAACUGGAGACCUAGUGGGAUAACUUUGGUCAUCUAAAAUGUAAUUAGAUUUCUAUGACAAGACAGAUGAGUCAUUUCUGAGUAGAUGAAAACAUUGUUAUAGCUUGUGUUUUGUAGAUGGAGAGAAAAGGCCAAGGGAAAUGCCACAUCCAGCACAAGUAAUGAAUUUUCUGGUAAAGUCAGGUGUCAAAAGCAGAGCACUGGAGUCUCUCAGUUGUGGUUUGGCCAAGGUUUUGAGGCUGAAUUGUGUAUCCCAAACACAAAAAUUUGUACCCAGCUCACUGGCAAGAGAACCUCACUUCUACUCAGAAAAAAAGGGUCGUGUUCAGUCUGGUUCUGUAAGUGCCUUAUGCCUCACCAUUGCUUCCUCUGUUAGUUGUGCAGGGAUCAGAGUGAGGGAAAUUGAUCAUGAGAUAAAGCCAAGAAUCCCCUUCCAAAAUCUAAGAUAGUAAGACAGGUGCCUAAAUUUACCUUCAGUACCACAGUAAGUGGUCUGAAAAAGUAUUACUGCUCACAGCUUGACUAAAAUAUCCUACAUAAAUCUUGAUUAUCCCCUUUAUGGUGAAGUUCAUGUGGGUCACUAUGAUUUUGGGGCUAGCAAUUAACUUUCCUUAUACUAUUCCCUGUAAUUAGAAUCAUAUCUGGAAACAGUGUUGCCAGGGUAAUUGCAAAGGCAUUUGUAGGCGUUUUAAUAGGGACCACUGUGUAAAACUUUCCCCUGUUGCUGAUUUUGGCAUCCUGACCUAUGUUUUCUCAUGUUCUUUAUAAAAAGAGCUGUUCUAAAUGUUUUGCUGGCUGCCUUGCCUCCCUUUCCUGACCUCUUUCUUAUUAAAAGCUAUAGCAAGAAGUCAGUCAUUAAAAGUUGAUCUGUCUGUCUUGAUGAGACUCAGUUCUUAACACAAAUUUCCUAGGGUAUCUGCAUAAUAGUUAUAUAAGGUAUUAACCACCCAGAUAAACACUACCUAUGAGGAAUGAUGUGCAAUUGUGACUUAUUUUCUAUUUAGUAUCUGUGGUUUUAAUAGAUGUAAGAACAAACAGAUAUGGUGCAAUAGAGAAUGCAGUAAAUUGAGAAUAAAAUGUAUAUAUAUACUUCAAAUGCAUCUUGAUGAUGAAGUCUCAAACAGAGCUGUUCUCAAAAGGUAUCAGUAGCCAUCAUACGAACACACCAUUCCCCCUCCUCUCCCAUCAGUCCUAAACUUACUCCAGGGCAAUAGUGCUGACUUCCCAACUAAAUAGGGCAUCCUACCAGCUAUCCAGAAAGACUUGUGAUUU